AACGCACGAGACCUGCGGACCUGCGGAAGGAUCAUUAACGAAUAUCUAUGGCGUUGGUUGUAGCUGGCUCUUAGGAGCAUUUUGUGCACGCCCGUCAUUCAUAUCAUCUUUCCACCUGUGAACUAUGUGUAGGCCUGGAUACCCCUCGCUUUGGCAACAAAGCGGAUGCAAGGAUUGCUGCGCCGACAAGGCCAGCUCUCUUUGAAUUUCCAGGUUCUAUGUCUUUUACACACCCCAUUU
Molecule: unclassified non-coding RNA, 240 nt
Filed under: soil metagenome
Description: partial contains 5.8S ribosomal RNA, internal transcribed spacer 2, and large subunit ribosomal RNA
Source: RNAcentral